CUGUGUCUAGCCAGGUCUAGCUCAGCUGAAGCUUUCUGUCUUCCUCAGCCUCUCUCUGCCUCCACAUCUCUGUUCCAGACGGAGGAUGCAAUUUUCUCAAGCCUGCCCGGAUUGCCACUCAUAGGAUCAUUCUUUAACUCAUUUCGCUCAAAAUGAGCCUGCUUAUUUUAAGCAGUGUAGGGUACGAUUCCAUGGCAGUUUCAGAUGAUCUAAAUCCCGACUUGUCCCGCCCCCUCCUCCCAUUCCAGCUCUGUGUUCCCGUCUCUUUUCCUGUGCUGGCACUUUGCUGCGUCUCGCACAGGGCAUUGCCAGCGAGGCUGCUUUGGGCUGUACAGUGUUUAUAUUGGAGUAGUGCUCCAGGGCCCCAGAAAUGAAGAAAUUAACUGCUCUGCAGACAUUUAUGAAGAAAUUGUCACACCACCGUAGUGCUCCUUCCUGCUCCACUGCUACAAGCUGUACCACAGUGCAGCAAAGAAUUUAAUGGUUUCUGAAGGAAGUGUGUGAGGAAACCUGGCUCUUCAGCCUCACCAGGUAGCUGUUGGGAAGAAGGGAGAGAGGGGAGGAAAGAGAGGAGGCUGGGAUUUCUGAGAUUGCAUCCGUACUUUAAGGAGUUGUUGAAUACAGCAUCUCACAUGUAUCUUGCUCAUCCUCUGGCACUCCUGAGAAAGCAGUAGCUGCCACUGCGGUUUGUGAAGUGGCUGAUGCUGCAGGCUAAGCAGUAUGUACUGGCUGGAUCCAUCCCCUCAGAUGAAGAAGAACUUGGACAGGCUUGUGCAAAGCUGCUCAAUUUUGCCUAGGACGAGGAAUUUUUUUUUUAACAUACCAGAACACAACUCUGGAUGGGAUGCCUGUGAAGUCAGACACAUUCAGAGUAAAAUAGCUUGUAGGUCUGACCACCCUAAAUCCACCGAAGUCCUCACGUAGGCAUACGUGUCCCCAUCCGCCCUUGCCGUGAGACGUGCCUGGGGCAGGCACACCCACUGGGGCUUUCCAGCCACUGAAAUGCAGCGGCCGCCAGUUCUUUUUGUGCCCUUAAUUUUGUACCUUUAUGGUGACUGGGGCCCUCAGCCAGUGGGAGCUGGUGUGACCAUGUGUGACCACAGGCCAGGUUCAGCUGGGGUGCAGAGGGAGCCCCGCUGAUGGAUGGGUUGAGCCGGUCCUCUCCGGAGCAGCGAGGCUGCAGGCGGGGACCCUCCGCUUGGGUCAGGACACUGCCAAGGUCACUCCUCAAGCUUGAGAGCCCUCGCCAUGUUGGGUGAGUGAUUCUGCAUUUUGGGUCAUCGUUCUCAAGUUUAGCGAUUCUGAAGUUGGCUGUGCGGUAAUAGUAGUAGUUCCAUUUGGCAGACACCUGAACCUGGAGUUUACUAACAUUUGUCAGGGUGCUAAGCAAUUUUUAUUAGACUAAAUCUCAUCUCGAAGACCUGCCUCAUCUAUUUUGAGGGCCUCUGUGACAAUGCCCGACUGAUGAUCCUGUGAAGCCUCUUGAUCCAGCUGUGUGCAGAGCCUGGUCUAACAUAACUCAGCAGGUGCUGCCUUUUGCACCAAGGAGAUAAUCCAGUUUCCUACUUCUGACUUUUGUAGAUCGGCACGAUGCUUUGCAAACCAGGACAGAAGAUACAAACUUACAUAGCGUGUGUCUUAAUUUUCAGCAGAUAGAAACUUUUCAUGGAAACUUGGAAACUGAUCUGAAUAUGAAAUGGUAACCCAAAACUAAAAUGUUCCAUCUUAUAAUCAGACUCCUAAAUCUCCCAAGCUUCCACACUGAUCCUACAGUAUUACACUAAGCUUUCAUUUCAUAUCCUUCUGGAAAACUCAGUACAACUUCCUCUGUUUUUUAAAGAAAAUUUAUUACAAGAUCUGCUUAGUUCUUUCCACUACCAUAAAGGGACGACGCAGUCAGUAAAGCCUUCAUUUAUUGCCAUUUUCUUUUCGGCUAAGUGUUUGAAAAGGAUGAAACUGGGGCAGACGAAGGCCUGUAAACCAUUUACUCCCUAAUUUUAAAGGCUCAAGAAGAAUUUAUGUGAUGCGUAGGUUUUAUGCUGGCUGUGUCCACAUGUGAGAAAAUUCUAUCCAUAUGGAUUCUCGUUCAAGCUGUCUAGACCUCCUCUGUUGCCAUUACUUUGUAAAACCUCUCUUUGCAGUGUCACCUUCGUCCUAACUUAAAGCUGCUAAACAGCGAUUACAGCAAACAUCUUUGCCAGGGGGGUGUGUACAUCAGUUGGAAGAGUGUGUACCUGCAAUCUCUAGGUUUUGAAGGAUUUUGAAGAACUAAAGACCAUGGGAAAUGAGUGUGAUAAGGCUCACUGUGAGAUCUUAUGGAAGAGGAAUGAGAUUUUAUAAACAAAAUCUCUGUAAAGAGCUGACUGUCUCCCUUUAUGUUUUCACACUCAUAUACUCAGAAGCACCAAAAUGUGUGUGUUCAGAUGGUCUGGCCAAGAUCACGUGUGUGAUCGUACAGAGGAUAAGGGUGCUGCUUAAGUCUUCCUUGUGCCUCUGGGUUUCUUGAUUGACAGCUGGUUUUGGACUUGCUUUUUAUACUUUCUAGGAGGGAAUGAUAUUUGGGAUACUCUGCACCACUAUUUUGUUUCACCCUUCAUGAAUUCAUGUAUGUCUUGCCUUUGGGUGUUUUAUGGCUCUGGACUUGUUCUUUGUCUUGUUUGAUACCUUCUCUGAACAUUUUGUUCCUAUCAAAUAUAGUUAGAAGCCUGACCCAGUAAGCAGACCCCAUUUACUCUCUGACUUUAGGAUUCUGCCCUGUUUCACAGAGUCAUUAGUGGAACAAAGCCAAAAGGACAUUCAGUUACUUGCUGAAGUCUGAAAGGCCAGUAUUUCAAAACUGCAGUGUGUGCUAUUAACAAGGAUGAAUCCUUUGGCAAUGUAUCCUUUCUACUGCAAAAUACUUGCCAUGUGGAACUUAAGACCCUUAUUACAAAUUCAUGAAUGAUUUUAAUGCAUCCUGGCAGCUUUCAUAAGCAUUGCAGUCAUCUGGAAGCAAAAAAGAUCAUUGGCUUGUGCAAAAUAAUACAGCUAUGCUCAUAUUUGAUCUAGCUCUCUAGUGGGAAAGGAAUACUUAAACUUUUUUAAAAAAAAUAAUCAGGAAACAUUUCUACUAUAUUAUAUCUCACCAAUCUAUUUAGAAGUCAUGUUCAAUAAGAGAUAAUAACUCAAUGCAGAGCAUCAAUAGAAGAAAAAAAGAUGUCCAAAAGUGCACAGUCCUUGAUGUGUUGGAGGAGUUGUAAAAACAUGUUGUAAAAUUUAACUACCAGUCAUCAGAAAAUAACAAUCUAAUAGGAAAAUCUGACUAUCAAGAAGUCCUUUCAUUUCUUCAUAAUAUUUUAAACACUUUCCCCAAAAUGUGAGUUUCCCUUUGAGCACUCUUAACUUAAAGGUACUGUUGCAGAGACAAAGCUGUGGGAAAGGAAAUCGGAUAUGAGAGUGAGCAGCUUUUAUUUCCCUGGGGCACUGUGGUGCAAAAUGAUGUCAACAGGUAACUUCUACUGUGGUAGAUGUUUGAAGGAAUACCCAAUAGCUGAUUUUUAGUACAAUUUUCAUAAUGUUAUUUUUCCUAGUAAGCAGCUGUUCUGGAAAUAAAAGAGAUUACAAGACAGAGAAGCAGCAUGCAUGGGAGAGGAUGCACUGAAGUGAGUCGUGUUCCAGAGCUGCAGUGUAUAAUACAGUCAACUCUGAUGUAAGGCCAAAACUAAAGAUUCAAACUUUCAAAAUUCUGUCUCGUAUUUCUAUAGAGCCAAACACGGCCAAGCUUUGGGUAGGGCUCCUAAAUGCUAUCCAAUCUCUUCCUUCUGUAGGUCGAACAGGUUUGUCCCACUUGCUCAGGUUUGCAAAAGGAACUCAUGUAAAGAAAGCUUAUAGUUAGUCUCUUCCCAGUUUGCCAUGCAGAAGUUACAGUUUUACAGCUUGCUUUGCCACUGAUAAAUAAUAUCAAUAAGAAGUAAUAAUAAUCAGAAUUAGGCAUCCUCCCUCUCUGUUCAGUCAUGAGUAAUUUGCAUUGAGGGGUACCAAAGAACAGCAUAAUGAAAUCACCCUCAGGCAGCUAAUAGUCUGAAGAAAUCAAGUCUGUGCAUAAACGACAAAAACAAACAAAACCAAAAAAAGACACCCAUGCCUGAAACAGAGCAACAAACUGGGAAAUAUUUAGGUUGGUUUAUAUUUAUUUACAAAUGUUGGUAGCAGAUGGUUACCAACAUUUCAUCAGUAUGGCUGUUAAAGCAACUUAAAAGCUGUAGCAAACGGCACAAUUUAUGUAGCAGCUCGCCUUCUUUAGCCCACUCUUACUUGUGUUACUCAGAACAGCUGCCAUUGCAAUUUAUCACACAGCUAAAUAGCUAAAAAAGGAAAUACAUGCAAGUGCAAAACCAGGAAAGCAGCAUGACUGUCCAAAACUAGGGAUUGGUGGUUUCUCCAUCACAGGUGCCUGUUUUGAGUGAUAGUUCUGUGCACAAACAGUCAUUUUCAGAAGAUUUCUUCCUCUUCUAAGCACAGAGUGAACCUUGCUUAUUAAAGUUUGUAGAGGCCACAGAUGCAGACACGACCUUAGCUGCUAGGUAGGCAUCAUUUAUCUCACCGUUCUCUUUUUAAGAGAGUAUAUUUAGCAGAUGAACUAAACUAGUCUGCUUUUUUUUCCCCUCAUUGGCAUUUUAUUUUCAUGCAACAUCCAAGCUGGCUAAGACAAGUUGAUGACUGACAGAUGAAGGUGGCUAGUCAAAUAGAUGACUACGAUACAUAUUUUUUAAAAAAUACUGUCUAAAAAAAAUAAAUAAAUACAAAUGGGGGUCUCCACUGAAUUUUCCAAAAAGAAGGCCUCACACCUGAGAAUGUCGCAUCUAGAGUUGCCAUACAGGAUAUACAGUUUUUGUACACCUGUCACUGAAACAGUUUAAUUCAACUGGGCUCCUCUCUCUUGGAUACCCAAUUCUCUCACAAAUUCAAGAAGAAAGUUGAUGGCUUCAUGGGCAGCUGGAUGGAGCUAUGUGUGAUACCGAAGUGGAGAUAGAAGAAAACAUCAAUUAUCUCACCAUAAAGGGGCUGGGCAAUACAAUGAGCCGUGAUUUAAAAAUGGAAACGCAAAUGCUUGCUUUGUAAAUAUUUAUCACAAAUCAGACUUUCCUGUUUGAGCAAGUGAUAAGGGACAGGGUAGUCUCUUGUUAAGGAGAAUAUUGGUGUAGAUGGUCCAGAGAAGACGCUUCCACCACCACCAUUUCACUGCCUGACUUGGCCUCACAGCCUGACCGGUGUCAGAAACCUCCAGCCAGCCAGAGUUCAAAGUGUGUGGGUGUGCGCGUUUGUGCCUGAGAAGGCAUUACUGACUGUACGCUUGCAAGCUGAAAGAAGUACUGACUACAUUCAUUUGUUCCUUGCUGGGAAAAUUCUGUGUACAGUGGCGAUGCGACGGCAUAAAAAACAGGUGGAGUCUGAACUGGAAACGGGUGUAGUUUCUGCUGAUUUAAUUGAUUAUAUUAAAAAUACUAAGAGACUGAGAAAAAA
This is a long non-coding RNA of Tyto alba (common barn owl), 5502 nucleotides long. RefSeq lists it as uncharacterized. NCBI's taxonomy places the organism in Eukaryota, Metazoa, Chordata, Aves, Strigiformes, Tytonidae. The record is from RefSeq and is a predicted model, not a curated record. The transcript is spliced from 2 exons.